This 440-nucleotide ribosomal RNA is filed under the name uncultured bacterium. RNAcentral describes it as "partial 16S ribosomal RNA". It matches the Rfam family "Bacterial small subunit ribosomal RNA", at positions 338 to 795 of the family's 1533-position model. The record is from RNAcentral.
CCUACGGGGGGCAGCAGUAGGGAAUAUUGCUCAAUGGGGGAAACCCUGAAGCAGCAACGCCGCGUGGAGGAUGAAGGUUUUCGGAUUGUAAACUCCUUUUGUUAGAGAAGAUAAUGACGGUAUCUAACGAAUAAGCACCGGCUAACUCCGUGCCAGCAGCCGCGGUAAUACGGAGGGUGCAAGCGUUACUCGGAAUCACUGGGCGUAAAGAGCGCGUAGGCGGGAUAGCAAGUCAGAUGUGAAAUCCUAGGGCUUAACCAUAGAACUGCAUUUGAAACUGGUAGUCUAGAGUAUGGGAGAGGUAGGUGGAAUGCUUGGUGUAGGGGUAAAAUCCGUAGAGAUCAAGAGGAAUACUCAUUGCGAAGGCGACCUGCUAGAACAUAACUGACGCUGAUGCGCGAAAGCGUGGGGAGCAAACAGGAUUAGAUACCCCUGUAGUC